Molecule: transfer RNA, 72 nt
Filed under: Chelonia mydas (Green sea turtle)
Lineage: Eukaryota; Metazoa; Chordata; Testudines; Cheloniidae
Rfam family: tRNA
About the family: Transfer RNA (tRNA) molecules are approximately 80 nucleotides in length. Their secondary structure includes four short double-helical elements and three loops (D, anti-codon, and T loops).
Source: Rfam by way of RNAcentral
GGCAGUAUGGUCUAGUGGCUAGGACACAGGUCUAACCCUCCGGAAACCUGGGUUUUAGUCCCAGUGCACCCC